Molecule: ribosomal RNA, 253 nt
Filed under: uncultured bacterium
Lineage: Bacteria
Description: partial 16S ribosomal RNA
Rfam family: Bacterial small subunit ribosomal RNA
Source: RNAcentral
UACGUAGGGGGCAAGCGUUGUCCGGAUUCAUUGGGCGUAAAGAGCGUGUAGGCGGCCAGGUAGGUCGGUUGUGAAAACUGGAGGCUCAACCUUCAGAGGUCGACCGAAACCAUCUGGCUAGAGUCCGGGAGAGGAGAGUGGAAUUCCUGGUGUAGCGGUGAAAUGCGCAGAUAUCAGGAAGAACACCCGUGGCGAAAGCGGCUCUCUGGAACGGUACUGACGCUGAGACGCGAAAGCGUGGGGAGCAAACCGG